CAGUGCCAGGCUCCGCCUCUUCCUCGCAGAGGCCUAUCAGACGCCGGGUCCAGCCAGAUCCCCCUAGACAGAAUAUGUUGUUCUCAUGCCCACCUGGCGGCGAGACUGUCUGGGGUCUACACCCACCCGGAUGGGCACGGUCUUUUGGGGACUGGACAUGGUCUCGAGUGGAGUCCUGGGCUGGGCGCCACGCAGGUGAUGCUAUACGCGGCUCCAAAAGCUUAUGCAGGGUUCGCGCUGGUGCCUAGCUGGGGUUGGAGCUGCCUCUUAACGCGUUUGCAGGAACCCACCCUGACCUCAGGAAUGAUAUGAGCUGAAGUACAGAUGUUAAAAAUUAAACUUCAUGUUUAUUACCGUACGUGGAAACAGGAUUCCCAGAACUGCUUCAGGAAGUGGCAAAACCAAUAGAAUAAGUGUGGCCAGUGUGAGACUAUUUUAAGGGAAUUAAUUGCUGUGUAUCUCUCCAUCAUGUUGCAAAAUUAGAAAGUCAAAGGUCUUUUUAAAAAAUGGUACCAGGAAUCAGACUCUUGACUUCGUGCUUGCCAGACAGGCACUGUGCCACUGAUCUGUAGCACCAGCCCUGCAAAAAGACAAAGCUUUACUGAGUGGCCAACUGCAAAGGAGGUCUGGAGGUAUAAGCUCAAAUCUGCUUCCCGAUCAGUGUAAGUGAGGAGUUUGUGGGAGAUGUUUGUUGGCUGACUGUGUCCUCACAGGUUACACAUCUCUGUUUGAAGGGAGGUAUGUUCUGUGUGAGGGAUUUUGAGCUGUAACAUCUUUGACAAAAGUCUGGCUUCUUUUGCUCAUGUUUGUGCUUGAAAAGCUGGUUCUGUACAGUAAUAAAUCUUAGUGAAAGACCUGGAGGCUCUUCCUGGAAGACAAAGUAUAUGUGAUCAGAUAUGUGCAGGCCUUAACUAAUUGCAAAUAUAGCUUUAUCUAGCCUUUGAUCUGUUUGCCUGAUUUUGCAACAUAAAGAGCCUCCAUUUUUACUUACUUUAAAAGCAAUAAAUUUUGGUACUUUAUUUUCUAUAUAUUUUAGAAUAAAUUUCUUUAAAACAAAACUGGUGGGAUUUUUUUUUUUAUACCGGGGAUCAAACUCAAGAGCUCAUGCUCGCCACAUAGGUGCUUAUACUGCUGAGCUAAAUCCUCGGCUCUGGUGGGAUUUUGAUUAGAUUGCAUUGAGGUUUGUGUGUACAUGUGCACGUGCGUGUUUUGAGGCAGGGGCUCUCUAGCCUUGAACUCACGGUGUAGCCCAAACUAUUCUUGAACUUGUGGCAGUCAUUCUGCCUCAGCCUCUCAAGUGCUCAGAUCACAGGCAUUGGAUUUGCAUUGAGUUUGCACGUUAAGUUAGCACUGACAUCGUUAUAUAGUUAAGACAGAAGAAUGGGACCCUUGUGCCCUGAGAGUCCCAGCUGCUCUGCACACCCUUGUGGUAGGCUGUGGCUUCACGAACACACCCCACACCUGCUCAGGGAGACUUGGAUGUGACAGCUUCCAUCUCAGGUCUGCCCCAGAUGACUGUCCCAUGGCCUCUCUGACCGAUCCCUGUGACUGAGUCAGCUCCGCAAAGCUGUCUCCAGCCUGGCCCUUGGAGUCCCUUCCUACCCACGAUGAGGUGGACCGUCUGUGGUUAACAGCAGGACACGCAUGUUCGAGCCCGCCUUCUUGUCUGUAGAAACAGCCUUUCCCUCUGGCUCAGGCUGUGCUUCCCUCGCCCUUAUGCUGCAGCAUGAGUUCUAAUAAUGGGUCUUCCAGAGAGCAUUUACUUUGCCUCUUCCUGAUCUCUAUCACGGUGGAGCUGGCUGACUUGGAUACCCUGAGUUGGUUACACUAAGGGCCGCUGUCACUGAGAGUGGCCAGAGCUGGGAUCACUUGAGGGUGGCUGAAGAAUGGCAGAGUGCUGAGGAUCAGCUUGAUGCAGUGCAGAGCAGGUGGUGCUUGGUUUUAUGUCAUUAAUAAACUGACAUAAAAGUAAGUUGAAUAGAGAGUCUUUCCCAGGCCUAAGAGACUUGUGGGAGGCCUAUGAUGGGCAUGGGAAUGAAAUUAACCCCCAGGCCAAAGGCCAGGACCCAAACCAGCAGGCAGCCUGUGAAGUCCUGGCCCUGACAGCUGGGAACUUUGACUCACUCAGAUUCCUUUUAGCUCAGUAGUCUCAGCAGAUACCAGGUCACUGGUUAACCGUGAUCUGUUCCCGUGUGCUUUUCCAAAAAUACUAUGUUCUUCGCAUCCUUGAGCCUUGCCUGCAUCAGCGGUUUACUCUUGUCUCUUCCUGCAGUCCACCACAUGCCCUCCUCAAGCUGUGCACCUAAAAAAGGCCAGGGACACCAAGCCUCAUGGUCUUUGUCCUUCUUUAGGCCCUAACUGUCCCAGUUCCCCUUUGAGCUGAAAUACAUGUUCCUUGCCCCUGUUUUAUUCUGUCAUCAUAGCCCUGAGCAGGGGAUCAGUGGUCCUUGGCCAGGGCCUUAUCAGCAGAGAGUGGUGGAGAAAGAGAGAGUUUUGCAGAGCUCUGGAGAGUUGCUGGUUCUGACUUCCCAGAGAGCAACAAUGAGAACUGCUGAUGCCAAACUGACAGCAAAUAAACCCUCUAGUUCCAAGGAAUUUACCACACUCUGUCACAGCCAUGGCUCAACUGUUCCCCUCAGGGUCUUGCUCUAUAGUCCAGGCUGGCCUCGAACUUGUGAUGAUCCUCCUGCCUCAGCCUCUCGGGUGCUGAGAUUACAGGCAUGUGCCACUGGGAUGGUUGGCCGAAUUUUGGAGGUUAAGCCAUCUCUGCAUUCCUCAAAGAAGCCCUAGUUAGGCAAGAUGUAGUCUCUUUCAAGGUCUUGGGAAGCGGAGAGAGGCAUGUGAGGUGUCAGGAAAUACAAAAAACUCAGUCAUCUCUAUGGAUGAUAUUUUAACACAUUUUUUAUUUCAAAAUUAAUGCCACACUGGGCACAUUGACACACACCUGUAAUCCGAGAAAAAGUGAAAAUUUAAAGACAGGAGCAGGAAUAGUGCCACGCCAAGCCAUUAGAGCUGGAGCAAAGUAGAAGCCUCAGUGACACUGAUAUUGUCUUUAUUGCAAUUCUGAUGUUUCCUCAAGUUUUUAAAAUUAAUUUUAGCUACAUCUCCAACCAUUAAUUUUUUUUCAACCAUUAAUUUUUGUUUCUUUUCUGCCCUUCUCAUCUGAGAAUUUUUUUAAAAUUUUGAGAGAAGCUCUCACUAACUUCCCCAACUUGGGUUUAAGCUUACAAUCCCUGUGCCUCAGGCUCCCAGAGCACUGGGGUUACAGAUAUGUACAACCAUUUCCAGCUUCCUGAUAGUUUUUGUUGGAGAGUCCUGUGGGACAGCCAGCACUGUAAGAUGACAAUUCCAGUAUGUUUUUAUUUUUAUUUAUUGGGGAAAUGUCGGGAAUCAAAUUCAGGACCUCACACUUGCCAAGCAGGCACUGUGCCACUGAGCUAAAUCCCUGGCCUCCUGGUAUCGUUUUUAAAUAUCUGUUUGACAGAAAUGGUUCCAAAAUUAGAAGAGUACCUGCUAAGAAAGCUGUUUCUUUCUCUUUCCAGCUAACAAAGUAAAACUUCCCAGUGUUAGGGUUCCAUGACUGUAAUAAAAUGCCUGAAGUAAUCACCUUGUAAAGACAAACAGCCAAGGAGAGGCUGUGGUUCUGUGGCAGAGGAAUGGCAUGGCAUGCACAGAGCCGAGCUUGGUGCUAGCACUGCAAAGAGAAAGAAGGGAAGGGUUAUUUUUGGCUGUCGGUUUUGGAGGCCUCAGUCUGGUCUGCUGAAGCAUUGCUUUUGAGCCUGUAGGGUGGGACAUGAAUGAGGAGGGGACAGGGUUCCACACUUCCCCUCAAGACCACACCUCCAAAGACUUCCCUCUAGGGCCCUUGUCCUGAAGGUUCAUCCCUUCUAGACAGGACCGAGCAAGGGACAGAGGCUUUCAUACUUGGCCAUUUAGGAGACAUUUAAGAAGCAAACGAUAGCACUCCCUGUGUAGCUCCUAUGGUUUCAAUAUUGUGUCCCCUCAGAAGUUAGGUGUGGUGGUCACACCUGUAAUUCCAGCACUCAGGAGGCAGAGGUAGAGGGACUGCUGAGUUUGAGGCUACCUAGGCUACAUAGUGAGUUCAAGGCCAGCCUGAACUAUACGACAAGACCCUGUUUCAAAAAACCAAGAAGAAAAAGAAGACCCUGUCUCACUCUCCCCCCAAAAGAUCUUGUCUCCAAAAACAAAAAAAUUAAGAUUAAAUUUUAAAAAAAUUCAUGUUGAAAUUGGCUCUCGGGGCUAGGGAUUUAGCUCUAGGGGCUGGGGAUUUAGCUCAGCACCAUAAGCACCUGCCUUGCAAGCAGGGGGUCGUGAGUUGGAUCCCCGGUACCGAUAAAAAGGAAAAAAGACAAAAAAAAAAAAAAAAGAAAGCAGAAAAGAAAUUGGCUCUCCAUUCGGAAUACUAGGGGUGUGGCCUCUGGGUGGUGAUUUCUGUGGGCGGUUCCGAGGCUCAGGUGCACUCCCAGCAGGGCUUGCUGAGGACUCUCGCGCUGUGCGCCUCCGCCGUCUGCGGUCUGCCGGUGGGGAAGCCCCGCUGCUCCCUCCAGAGGACCGAGUGCGCACAGCGCCACCUUGGAAGCACAUUCUUGCUACGCGAGAAGUGGGUGCCUUGCCCUCGCGCUUCCAAGCCUCCAGGUCUGUGAGAAGCGUGUCCCUGCUCUUUAUCAAGUGCCCGGGCACAAGAACUCACAAGAACUUUAUUAGAGCCACUCAGGCUGACUAGGACGGUGAGGAGAGAAUUCCAGCAUGGAGUCCGGCUCUUGCCGCCGAGAUUCAGUUCUGCUGUCAGAAGCCUCUAUCUGAGGGUUGAGCUCCCCACUUCUUGUGUUUGUGUGGCUGCAGCUGUCGUCCUGCCGUCCAGCGCCCCUCAUGCUGGCUUUGGGAUGCCUCUCCUGGGAGCUGCCUGGCCUCCUUGCUCUGGCCGAUGGUGGAGGGGGCCUUAGCCGGGAGGACUCAGCCCUGUGCUCCGCAAAGAAGGGAGGCAGGGGCUAAGGACUAAGGUUCUUGGGUUCGUGGAUGGGAAGAUGCUGGAGGGGGAGGGCCAGUGGUCACACUCAUCUCAGAAGCCGAGUAGUGCAGUUACUGUAAAGUGCAGCGAACGUGGAACAGCCACAGAGCCCGACUGCGGGGGGCCGUGGUGACUGUCACACAGCGCUGGAGAGGCAGACAGCAAGGGCACAUCUGACCCCAAACAAACAUCAAGAAACGGGGGUGAGGAGUAGAAGUUGCUGGUAGGAGGCCAUGUCCCCAUGACAAAAACACAAGUUCAGACUGCAGGGAAUUCCCCAGUCAGUGUCCCCCGAGGGGGACAGCCGCCCAGCACGGGAGCUGCCCAGUGGGGAAGAGAAGGACAGACUCUUGCAGCACUGUUGGCUGCAGCCUGAGCUGACUCUGACAUCAGGCUAAGUGCCAUCUAUCUACCUUGCUGUGGGCCCAUGAUGGCGCAGUCUGUCGGAAGUUUGUGCCACAGGCCGCCCCACGGGCAAACAAGCUAGGUCAUUUUGUUCAAGUCGUCCAGAGACAAUGCCAAUGGGCCCCAACAGCAUGCCGUGGACAGCGGAUAUGAGGCCUGUACAAUGGGAGGAGGGUGGCCCAGCCUGGACCUUGUGCUCCCCAGGGACCAGAGGACGUGGCUGUGGGCAGAGGGUGCAUGCUGUGAUUGCAGGAGGAAGCCAGGGCCACUUGUAUAUUCCUUUCUUCUUUCUUUCUUCCAAUAAGUUGGUCCAACUUCACUGUAGUCUGUUACAAAAGACCAUUUAAAUUAGAGCCAGCAUCUUUGGUUUCAAGGCUGUUAGAAAUCUAACAUAUCUUAUUACAGAAAAAUAUAAAUUACAUUAAUUCAAACUACAGAAUAAAAACAAAUAUUUACAAAUAUAUGGUGUAUCCUCAUUAAAUGUUUUUAACUGGUUUCUUCCAACUUCACAACUGUUAACAUUAAAAAAAAAAAAAAACUCCAACAACUAGUUUGGAAUUGAAUGAGAAAACCCACACUUUAUUCUAACAUGAAGGGUGUUCACGGUGGAGGGCUCCAGCCCAAUGCUCCCAGACUACUGGAUGUUGGAAGAUACUCCGUUGCUAGAUGAAAACGUUUUGUAUUUUUUUCUAAUUAGGAAACAUUAUACUCAUGCAUAAGAAAUCAUCUAAUUGCUUUAUAAAUGCAAAAUAAAUUCUUUGAAUAUC
This is a long non-coding RNA of Cavia porcellus (domestic guinea pig), 6201 nucleotides long. RefSeq lists it as uncharacterized. The record is from RefSeq and is a predicted model, not a curated record. Lineage: Eukaryota; Metazoa; Chordata; Mammalia; Rodentia; Caviidae. The transcript is spliced from 2 exons.